RNAcentral lists this transfer RNA (72 nucleotides) under Bos taurus (domestic cattle). It matches the Rfam family "tRNA". From Rfam's summary of the family: Transfer RNA (tRNA) molecules are approximately 80 nucleotides in length. Lineage: Eukaryota; Metazoa; Chordata; Mammalia; Artiodactyla; Bovidae. The record is from Rfam by way of RNAcentral. RNAcentral also lists the same sequence under 5 other names.
UCCUUGGUGGCUCAGAUGGUAAAGAACCUGCCUGCAAUGUGGGAGACCCAGGUUCAAUUCCUGGGUUGGGAA